AUAAUUGUAGUUCUAAAUUUCUCUUCGCAUCCAGGACGAAGAUAAUUUUCAUCACAUGUCUUUACCUGAAACAUCAAAGAUCAUGGUUAUACGAAAUUACAGUUCCUGUUUAUAAUCAUACUAACAAUUUCAUCUUUGCACUACGGCCAAAGAUAUUCAUCAACAGACCAUCUUUGCACUACAGGCCAAAGAUAUUCAACAACAGGUC
RNAcentral lists this long non-coding RNA (208 nucleotides) under Panax ginseng (ginseng). Its description in RNAcentral is "long non-coding RNA (PGIN_LNC006370)". Lineage: Eukaryota; Viridiplantae; Streptophyta; Magnoliopsida; Apiales; Araliaceae. The record is from RNAcentral.